This 943-nucleotide ribosomal RNA is filed under the name uncultured bacterium. RNAcentral's name for it is "bacterial SSU rRNA". It matches the Rfam family "Bacterial small subunit ribosomal RNA", at positions 8 to 945 of the family's 1533-position model. The record is from RNAcentral.
AGAGUUUGAUCCUGGCUCAGGACACACGCUAGCGGCGUACUUAACGAAUGCGAGUCGAGCGACGAAAGGAGACUUCGGUCUCCCUGAAAGCGGCGAACGGGUGAGUAACACGUAGGUGACCUACCCUGGAGACGGGGAUAGCCUGCAGAGAUGCGGGGUAAUACCCGGUACGCUUGUCGGCUUAGAUGCCGACUAAGGAAAGGCGCGAGCCGCUCUGGGAUGGGCCUGCGGCCCAUUAGCUAGUUGGUGGGGUAACGGCUCACCAAGGCAACGAUGGGUAGCUGGUCUGAGAGGAUGUCCAGCCACACUGGGACUGAGACAUGGUCCAGACUCCUACGGGAGUUAGCAUCGGGGGAUAUUGCGCAAUGGGCGAAAGCCCGACGCAGUGACGCCGCGUGCAGGAUGAAGGCCCUCGGGUUGUAAACUGCUGUCGGGUGGGAUGAACACCGGGAGUGACGUCUCGGUCUGACAGUACCACCCAAGAAAGCCACAGCUAACUACGUGCCAGCAGCUGCGGUAAUACGUAGGUGGCGAGCGUUGUCCGGAAUCACUGGGCGUAAAGGGCGUCUAGGCGGCUUGGCAAGCGGAAUGUGAAAGCCCAGGGCUCAACCCUGGAACGCCGUUCCGAACUGCCAGGCUUGAGUUCGGGAGAGGGCAGUGGAAUUCCCGGUGUAGCGGUGAAAUGUUUAGAUAUCGGGAGGAACACCCGUGGCGAAAGCGGCUGCCUGGACCGAUACUGACGCUGAAGCGCGAAAGCCAGGGGAGCGAACGGGAUUAGAUACCCCGGUAGUCCUGGGCCGUAAACGAUGAUCACUAGGUGUUGGGAGGCAUCAACCCUUCCAGUGCCGAAGCUAACGCAUUAAGUGAUCCGCCUGGGGAGUACGGCCGCAAGGUUAAAACUCAAGGAAUUGACGGGGCCCGCACAAGCGGUGGAGCAUGUGCU